UACAAGCUGAUGUAUUUGGCAGGGUUACUAUUUCCCAGGGCAAAGCAGGUCUUUUUUUUCACGUUUUGACUAACGAACUAGAGGCUACUGCAAAGAAAGAAGAAAAAGAACAGUAUUAACGCAUUUAUUUGCACAGCACCCCAAUCUUGACCCUCAAUUUUUUCAAUCGCCCCCACAAAUAAAGCCCGGCUGUUUAGACCUGGUGAACCGCCAGGAGCCUGGAGCUCUUUGUAUUAAGCAGCUUCUCGGUUAGGGCGCCCUCCCCCGGCGCCAUGCAACCAAACGCUGGCGGCGCGCUGUAACCUAAGGCCCACACCCGUCUUUUCUUUUCUAGGGGAUGUGGAGACGCUGGUAGCGGGGCCAGGAAGGCUCCGGACGGAGCAGGUUUUCUGGACCACAGACACACUGCCCCGGCGCCCUCCGCAGGCCGCUCCUCCCCAGGCCCAUGACAGUGCCCCGCUGGUUUCCGCCGCGCUGCCGGACUGGAGCUCAGACGGCCUUCGCCAGCCCCCCCAACCCACGCAGAUCCCUGCUGACCUGGGCAAGUCCCCACCCUCGCUGAAGGUUCGAGGACCACCCCGCUUUCCCGAGGGGAGCCAGGCGGCGGGUACUUAUCUCCGACCUCCGGCUAGUGGGAAAGGCCGCGCGACCGCCCGUCCUCCAACUACAGGCACCGCACGGAACAAAAAAAAAAGCCCAACCCUUCACACCACUUCAUCCGCAUCUCAAGACCAGAAGCUGACCCCAGCGGCUCGGGGAAAUGGAGCCCCGCACCGCACAAGGGGGAGGGUGGGACUGGCACCUCCGCACUGCGCGGCCUGCGGAGUCACCGAUUCGCGUUGGGAGCGCGCCAGGAGCGCCAGGGCUCUAGCCGGGGGCUCCGGGCAAGGCGCAACCAGAAGAGGGUUCAGUAUCCCCCAUCACCCCCACCCCCAACCGUGACCCUCUUUCUUUGCGGGCUUUAGGCAGGACACCAGAGACCCAAUUCUAUUUAAAAUUCUCUUUUAAGAAAAGGAACGCCUGUUUUUGCCUUUGGGGGGAAAGGAUGAACUUUCAAAUUGGCUUUAAAUUAUCCACCACUAACAGUUACUCAGUCGCUAACCUGACUAUUCUGACGUCCACCUCCCGUUUGAGGACCUUGCCCAAUAGCAAACGUACUAAGCACUUAACCAAUGAACGGUGUGAAGGAUGCAAACAUGGAUGAUGAAGGAAUGGCUCCUCCAAAAUGUACGAUCUUGGGAGAAGUGAGGCGAGUAUAGAAUCUCAGAACACGCUGUAGGAUUGAGUUCGAUCCCAGUUGAGGAAGUUUGGGUUUGGGGAGGAAAUCGGUUAUUUUGGAGAAAUGGUAUUCAAGACCUACCAUAAAUAGCAGUAUAGCCCGUUGACUAAUAAUGCUUAGCCCAACCCCCGUAAAAAGCCCCUGGCCACAUCCGUCUCCUGAGAUUCCCACUUCUCUGUGUGCAUCUCCCUUCCUGCUGUAAGAAACCUAACUUUGCCUUUGUAGAACACUUCUUUUAAUUUCUGUCAUUCAGUCUCAUAACACUGUGUAAAAGAAAUUAUGAUCUUCAUCCUAUAUAGAUGAGAAAACAGGUGAAGUGACUUUUCCAAGGUACAAAAACAAGAGGCAGAGCUGAGGCUAAAGGCAGACUCCAGAUAUGGGCUCUUUCUACAGCACCAUAACUGUCAGUGACAAAACUGC
This 1699-nucleotide long non-coding RNA is filed under the name Pan troglodytes (chimpanzee). RNAcentral describes it as "long non-coding RNA NONPTRT004473". Lineage: Eukaryota; Metazoa; Chordata; Mammalia; Primates; Hominidae. The record is from RNAcentral.